GGUUCUAUAGUGUAAUGGAUAGCAUCCGACCCUCCGAAGGUCGUAGUUCAGGUUCGAGUCCUGAUAGGACCA
Molecule: transfer RNA, 72 nt
Filed under: Cytophagales bacterium
Lineage: Bacteria; Pseudomonadati; Bacteroidota; Cytophagia; Cytophagales
Description: tRNA-Arg
Rfam family: tRNA
About the family: Transfer RNA (tRNA) molecules are approximately 80 nucleotides in length. Their secondary structure includes four short double-helical elements and three loops (D, anti-codon, and T loops). Further hydrogen bonds mediate the characteristic L-shaped molecular structure. tRNAs have two regions of fundamental functional importance: the anti-codon, which is responsible for specific mRNA codon recognition, and the 3' end, to which the tRNAs corresponding amino acid is attached (by aminoacyl-tRNA synthetases). tRNAs cope with the degeneracy of the genetic code in two manners: having more than one tRNA (with a specific anti-codon) for a particular amino acid; and 'wobble' base-pairing, i.e. permitting non-standard base-pairing at the 3rd anti-codon position.
Source: RNAcentral